CAGUAGCCGCGGUAAAACGAAGGGUGCAAGCGUUAAUCGGAAUUACUGGGCGUAAAGCGUGCGCAGGCGGUUUGUUAAGACAGAUGUGAAAUCCCCGGGCUCAACCUGGGAACUGCAUUUGUGACUGGCAAGCUAGAGUGUGGCAGAGGGGGGUGGAAUUCCGCGUGUAGCAGUGAAAUGCGUAGAUAUGCGGAGGAGCACCGAUGGCGAAGGCAGCCCCCUGGGCCAACACUGACGCUCAUGCGCGAAAGCGUGGGGAGCAAACAGGAUUAGAUACCCGCGUAGUCCCUGUCUCUUAUAC
RNAcentral lists this ribosomal RNA (301 nucleotides) under uncultured bacterium. RNAcentral describes it as "partial 16S ribosomal RNA". It matches the Rfam family "Bacterial small subunit ribosomal RNA", at positions 509 to 807 of the family's 1533-position model. The record is from RNAcentral.